AGGGCUCAGAGGUAGAGCAUCUGCUUUUCAUGCAGACAAUCAUGGGUUCAAUUCCUGGCAUCUCUA
This 66-nucleotide transfer RNA is filed under the name Sphaerodactylus townsendi. RNAcentral describes it as "tRNA-Glu". It matches the Rfam family "tRNA". Rfam says of the family: Transfer RNA (tRNA) molecules are approximately 80 nucleotides in length. Their secondary structure includes four short double-helical elements and three loops (D, anti-codon, and T loops). Lineage: Eukaryota; Metazoa; Chordata; Lepidosauria; Squamata; Sphaerodactylidae. The record is from RNAcentral.